This is a long non-coding RNA of Myotis brandtii (Brandt's bat), 2415 nucleotides long. RefSeq lists it as uncharacterized. Lineage: Eukaryota; Metazoa; Chordata; Mammalia; Chiroptera; Vespertilionidae. The record is from RefSeq and is a predicted model, not a curated record. The transcript has 3 exons.
ACUAGUAAUUUGAGUUACAAGCUCCGUCACGGAGCGAAUUAAACUCAUAAGUCAAGGCCCCACUGUAUAUUAUUGAUUACUGGUUUGUUUUAGGCAUUUAAGUCUAACAAACAGUUGGCAUAUGGGCAGUCACUUUGGUAAUAAUAGAAUGCUAGUGAUGAUCACUUGAUGGACAUUUAUUACAUGCCUGUUUUGUUUUUGUUUCCCCCUCUGGAUACCUAAUGUGUGUAUAUUACUUUUUUGGUGAACUUUUCUCUUGAAAGAUUUGGCUGUGAUAUUCAGGGCUUUUUAUUAUUAUGCUUUUCUUCUAAGUUUAAGUAUUAGCUGGCUACUGCUACCAGAAAAUACCAUAUGAAAGCUAAAAUUUACUGUUGAAAAAUCAGCUAAUUUAGGUAAUUCAAAUAUUUUUAGAAAAACAUCUGGAUAAUUUAUUGGCCCACUUAGUAUUGUGUAGACACCUUUCACAAUUCCCAUUGCAUAGGUUUUCAUUGUGGAGUAGUCAGCUUGAUUCACUUUAAUAUGCUUUGCAUGUAAAAUAAAUACUCAAUAAAAAAAGUAAAUUUUCAUUUAUUUUUAACACUGGUUAUUUCCUUACUGUACUGUCAGUAAAAUCCUGACCAUGAAUAUUACUUUUGAAAGUAAAUGCUAAUAUUCUAAUUAACUUAUGUGCCUCUUACUGAAAUAGUAUGCAGUACAUUAGAAUUUUUAUUUAGUAUAUUAUAGAAGGUAAAAUUUUCUAAAAAUGAAAAUAUAGGUUGGAUAAGAUCUGACUACAUUAAUGGUGAGGCUCUUUGAAUAACUGAAGACGUGUACACAUGUUCAAGCUGACUGAACAUUUUAAUUAUCUUUGUAUUUUAAAACUACAUGAGUAAUUUCUUAAUUCAAAUAAGAACUGUUAUCAACUACAUCUGCUGGUGUUCAAAGAAUCUCAGGUCCUUCAUAGUUUGAAAAAGAUAGAGGUCUGAGAAUGUAAAAAUCCAGUCUUUGUUUUUUUAGUAAAUGGUUUUCAUAACUUUUUGCUAGUAUGCCAUUCUUCAUACACCCUCACAAGCUAAUCAGUCUUCUUUACUUCUAGAACUCUAAGUUAAUCUUUUCAGUAAUGUCAUACAUGUCUAACAAGUGAACAAGCAUCCUUCAGUCAGAAUGUGUAGAUAAUGUCUCAAGUCCUUUUAUAAGAACAUACUCCAUUACUGGAGCGAGCCUACUGAAAACAUUCGCAAGGUCUCUUAAUCUUAAUGGAAACUGGAGCCAUUUAUCUUAGACUUCAUCAAAUAUCCUUUUUAAAUUCUCGAUUCACUCUAUGUGUGCACACAAUUCUAUCAGUAACUGUAAAUGCCCACAUAUUUUCUUAAUCUCUUGCUUCUAGUUUCUCUUUUCACCUCUGCAAGAGCUUACAUUUUAUUCCUGGUCAACUUCUUGGAAAGAAUUUAUGUAAUGUUGGACCUUUAUGUUAAAGAGAUGGAUAAAAGAUAUAAUAUCUUUUACAAUCCAUUCAUUUUAUUUUGAUUUCUAACCAGAUAAGGUUUAAAAGGAAGCUAAAAAUGAAACUUCCCUAUUAAUACUGGAUCAAAUGUACAAUUUUACUUGCACUUUCAAAAAAUUUCUGUGACUGAAUAAAGAUGCCUUUAAAAGGAAAAAGCUCACUAUUUUAGUUUUAUGGAAGCAAAUUAAGAAAAAUUAAUAGAAAGGUAUCUGAUUUCUUUUUAUUAUUUUUAGUACAAAAGUAUAAACAAAACUAUCAAAGACACAGGAAAUCCCAUUUGAAAAACCUUCAAAUCACUUUUGUAAUGGACCAGAGCCCAAGCAAACUCCAAAGGGAGCUUGGCUGUACUUUGAGGUCCAACUGAAGCAAGUCAGAACUCUUUCCUAAAAAAGAGUGCAGUAUGUGUUGAUGCAAAUGUAAUGUAAUCUCUGUAGUCCCUGGUAAACUGUGAGUACUCAGGAAACAGCAAAGUUUUGGGUAAAGCAAAACAUCUUUUACAAAGAAAGGCCUUCUUGAGUUUGUUUACUUCAGAAGCUCAAAAUACUUCCCAGUUAGGUCUGUCUUACUCUCAAAUCCCCUGGCUCAACCUGGGCCUGUGUUCCUAUGAAGAAAUGUCUGUGCCCAAACUCCUGAACAAAUAUAUAGUCUCUGGCAGUGCCAUUAACCAAGGUGAUAGGGGAACUGAACAAACGGUGAAUCAGCUUGAGUUCACGAAGGCUGGCAACGAGUCCCUUUCUGUGCUCCUCCACUUGUUUUCUCAGGGUCCCUGACCACUAGUGGCCCGGAUGUCCUGACAGCAGAGCACAGGAAGCAUAUCGAAGCCAAGGGCUGUUUGUCUCCUGACCUGCUCCGGCGUAACCACAAGCAGUUUCUGUUGAUUUGAGUACUAUAGGGCAGCAAAACAGAGGAUGGCAAUUAGAGGUGUUGGUACU